UAUUGUGACGUAAAAUCCUAGAUACGAAACCUUCUAAAACACCUCGCUAUGACGUCACAACAUGGCGGCGCCCAUGCCGAGACGUAGCUUACCUGAGGCAGCACAAGUCAACACCAAAGUCGCUACAUACAUUACGCCACAUCAGGUAGACUGAUGGAACGAGGUGAAGAGAUGGCUUGGAUCUGUUUUACAUACUAAUUCCAACGAGAUUAUUACGAUGUUU
Molecule: long non-coding RNA, 223 nt
Organism: Haliotis rubra (blacklip abalone)
Lineage: Eukaryota; Metazoa; Mollusca; Gastropoda; Lepetellida; Haliotidae
Exons: 3
Source: RefSeq, a predicted model, not a curated record